This 253-nucleotide ribosomal RNA is filed under the name uncultured bacterium. RNAcentral describes it as "partial 16S ribosomal RNA". It matches the Rfam family "Bacterial small subunit ribosomal RNA", at positions 524 to 776 of the family's 1533-position model. The record is from RNAcentral.
UACGAAGGGGGCUAGCGUUGUUCGGAAUUACUGGGCGUAAAGCGCGCGUAGGCGGACAUUUAAGUCAGAGGUGGAAUCCCGGGGCUCAACCCCGGAACUGCCUUUGAUACUGGGUGUCUAGAGUAUGGUAGAGGUGAGUGGAAUUCCGGGUGUAGAGGUGGAAUUCGUAGAUAUUCGGAAGAACACCAGUGGCGAAGGCGGCUCACUGGACCAUUACUGACGCUGAGGUGCGAAAGCGUGGGGAGCAAACAGG